UUCGGGUUGUAAAGCACUUUUGUUGGGGAAGAAAAGCACUCAAUUAAUACCUGGGUGUUCUGACGGUACCCAAAGAAUAAGCACCGGCUAACUUCGUGCCAGCAGCCGCGGUAAUACGAAGGGUGCAAGCGUUACUCGGAAUUACUGGGCGUAAAGCGUGCGUAGGUGGUGAGUUAAGUCUGUCGUGAAAGCCCUGGGCUCAACCUGGGAAUGGCGAUGGAUACUGGCUCGCUAGAGUGCGGUAGAGGAGAGUGGAAUUCCCGGUGUAGCAGUGAAAUGCGUAGAGAUCGGGAGGAACAUCAGUUGCGAAGGCGGCUCUCUGGACCAGCACUGACACUGAGGCACGAAAGCGUGGGGAGCAAACAGGAUUAGAUACCCUGGUAGUCCACGCCCUAAACGAUGCGAACUGGACGUUGGGAGCAAUCAGGCUCUCAGUGUCGAAGCUAACGCGUUAAGUUCGCCGCCUGGGGAGUACGGUCGCAAGACUGAAACUCAAAGGAAUUGACGGGGGCCCGCACAAGCGGUGGAGUAUGUGGUUUAAUUCGAUGCAACGCGAAGAACCUUACCUGGCCUUGACAUCCACGGAAGUCUGCAGAGAUGCGGAUGUGCCUUCGGGAACCGUGAGACAGGUGCUGCAUGGCUGUCGUCAG
Molecule: ribosomal RNA, 650 nt
Filed under: uncultured Gammaproteobacteria bacterium
Lineage: Bacteria; Pseudomonadati; Pseudomonadota; Gammaproteobacteria
Description: bacterial SSU rRNA
Rfam family: Bacterial small subunit ribosomal RNA
Source: RNAcentral